Molecule: ribosomal RNA, 253 nt
Filed under: uncultured bacterium
Lineage: Bacteria
Description: partial 16S ribosomal RNA
Rfam family: Bacterial small subunit ribosomal RNA
Source: RNAcentral
UACGUAGGGAGCAAGCGUUGUCCGGAAUCACUGGGCGUAAAGGGCGCGUAGGUGGCACGGGUAGUCGUCGGUGAAAGCUCAGGGCUCAACCCUGAGUCGGCCGGUGAUACUCCCGAGCUCGAGUGUGGUAGAGGCCAAUGGAAUUCCGGGUGUAGCGGUGGAAUGCGUAGAGAUCCGGAAGAACACCGGUGGCGAAGGCGGUUGGCUGGGCCACAACUGACACUGAGGCGCGACAGCGUGGGGAGCAAACAGG